UGAAUUGAAACCAAGAGUCUAGGUGCUUAGCUGUUAACUAAGUUUUAGAGGGAUAGAUACCCUCCAAUUUAG
RNAcentral lists this transfer RNA (72 nucleotides) under Dactylopsila trivirgata (striped possum). RNAcentral describes it as "tRNA-Asn". Lineage: Eukaryota; Metazoa; Chordata; Mammalia; Diprotodontia; Petauridae. The record is from RNAcentral.